Molecule: ribosomal RNA, 441 nt
Filed under: uncultured Polaribacter sp.
Lineage: Bacteria; Pseudomonadati; Bacteroidota; Flavobacteriia; Flavobacteriales; Flavobacteriaceae
Description: bacterial SSU rRNA
Rfam family: Bacterial small subunit ribosomal RNA
Source: RNAcentral
GUCGAGGGGUAACAGGGAUUGCUUGCAAUCCGCUGACGACCGGCGCACGGGUGAGUAACGCGUAUGCAACCUACCUUUUACUGGGGGAUAGUCAAGAGAAAUUUUGAAUAAUACCCCAUAUGAUCUGAUUCACUCCUGUGAAACAGAAGAAAAUUCCGAUGGUAAAAGAUGGGCAUGCGUCCUAUUAGUUUGUUGGUGAGGUAACGGCUCACCAAGACUUCGAUAGGUAGGGGUCCUGAGAGGGAGAUCCCCCACACUGGUACUGAGACACGGACCAGACUCCUACGGGAGGCAGCAGUGAGGAAUAUUGGACAAUGGAGGCAACUCUGAUCCAGCCAUGCCGCGUGCAGGAAGACGGCCCUAUGGGUUGUAAACUGCUUUUAUACAGAAAGAAACGUUAGUACGUGUACUAGCCUGACGGUACUGUAAGAAUAAGGAUCG